AACUUGACUUCCUAACUACUUUUUAUCUUUUCCUUAUUUUUUAUUUUUUUUUUUUUUUUUAAUCUAAAAAAUUCAGGGGCUGGGUAAGAUUUUUUAAUAAUUUCUUACUUUUUUAGUCCCUUUUUUUAUGGACUUUGGCUUUUAAUUAAUUCACUUAACAUAGAUAAAGUGCUCUACUAAGAUAAUGUGGGGAAA
This 195-nucleotide transfer RNA is filed under the name Gagea lutea. Its description in RNAcentral is "partial transfer RNA-Leu". Lineage: Eukaryota; Viridiplantae; Streptophyta; Magnoliopsida; Liliales; Liliaceae. The record is from RNAcentral.